RNAcentral lists this ribosomal RNA (433 nucleotides) under uncultured bacterium. RNAcentral describes it as "partial 16S ribosomal RNA". It matches the Rfam family "Bacterial small subunit ribosomal RNA", at positions 29 to 507 of the family's 1533-position model. The record is from RNAcentral.
AACGAACGCUGGCGGCAUGCCUAACACAUGCAAGUCGAACGAGACCUUCGGGUCUAGUGGCGCACGGGUUCGUAACGCGUGGGAACCUGCCUUUAGGUUCGGAAUAACUCCCCGAAAGGGGUGCUAAUACCGGAUAAUGUCUUCGGACCAAAGAUUUAUCGCCCUUGGAUGGGCCCGCGUUGGAUUAGCUUGUUGGUUGGGUAAAAGCCUACCAAGGCGACGAUCCAUAGCUGGUCUGAGAGGAUGAUCAGCCACACUGGGACUGAGACACGGCCCAGACUCCUACGGGAGGCAGCAGUGGGGAAUAUUGGACAAUGGGCGAAAGCCUGAUCCAGCAAUGCCGCGUGAGUGAUGAAGGCCUUAGGGUUGUAAAGCUCUUUUACCCGGGAUGAUAAUGACAGUACCGGGAGAAUAAGCUCCGGCUAACUCCGUG